This 397-nucleotide ribosomal RNA is filed under the name uncultured bacterium. RNAcentral's name for it is "partial 16S ribosomal RNA". It matches the Rfam family "Bacterial small subunit ribosomal RNA", at positions 523 to 918 of the family's 1533-position model. The record is from RNAcentral.
AUACGUAGGGGGCGAGCGUUGUCCGGAAUGAUUGGGCGUAAAGGGCGUGUAGGCGGCCUGUUAAGUCUGAAGUGAAAGUCCUGUUUUCAAGAUGGGAAUUGCUUUGGAUACUGGCGGGCUUGAGUGCAGGAGAGGGUAUCGGAAUUCCCGGUGUAGCGGUGGAAUGCGUAGAGAUCGGGAGGAACACCAGUGGCGAAGGCGGGUAACUGGACUGCAACUGACGCUGAGGCGCGAAAGUGUGGGGAGCAAACAGGAUUAGAUACCCUGGUAGUCCACACUGUAAACGAUGAAUGCUAGGUGUAGGGGGUAUCGACCCCUUCUGUGCCGCAGUAAACACAAUAAGCAUUCCGCCUGGGGAGUACGGCCGCAAGGUUGAAACUCAAAGGAAUUGACGGGG